GAUGAACGCUGGCGGCGUGCCUAAUACAUGCCAGUCGAGCGAACGGACGAGAAGCUUGCUUCUCUGAUGUUAGCGGCGGACGGGUGAGUAACACGUGGAUAACCUACCUAUAAGACUGGGAUAACUUCGGGAAACCGUAGCUAAUACCGGAUAAUAUUUUGAACCGCAUGGUUCAAAAGUGAAAGACGGUCUUGCUGUCACUUAUAGAUGGAUCCGCGCUGCAUUAGCUAGUUGGUAAGGUAACGGCUUACCAAGGCAACGAUGCAUAGCCGACGUGAGAGGGUGAUCGGCCACACUGGAACUGAGACACGGUCCAGACUCCUACGGGAGGCAGCAGUAGGGAAUCUUCCGCAAUGGGCGAAAACCUGACGGAGCAACGCCGCGUGAGUGAUGAAGGUCUUCGGAUCGUAAAACUCUGUUAUUAGGGAAGAACAUAUGUGUAAGUAACUGUGCACAUCUUGACGGUACCUAGUCAGAAAGCCACGGCUAACUACGUG
This 497-nucleotide ribosomal RNA is filed under the name uncultured bacterium. RNAcentral's name for it is "partial 16S ribosomal RNA". It matches the Rfam family "Bacterial small subunit ribosomal RNA", at positions 28 to 507 of the family's 1533-position model. The record is from RNAcentral.